CCUACGGGUGGCAGCAGUGAGGAAUAUUGGUCAAUGGUCGUAAGCCUGAACCAGCCAAGUCGCGUGAAGGAUGACUGUUCUAUGGAUUGUAAACCUCUUUUAUACGGGAAUAAAGUGCGGGACGUGUCCCGUUUUGUAUGUACCUUAUGAAUAAGGAUCGGCUAACUCCGUGCCAGCAGCCGCGGUAAUACGGAGGAUCCGAGCGUUAUCCGGAUUUAUUGGGUUUAAAGGGUGCGUAGGCGGCUUUUUAAGUCAGUGGAGAAAGUCUGUGGCUCAACCAUAAAAUUGCCGUUGAAACUGGGAGGCUUGAGUAUGUUUGAGGCAGGCGGAAUGCGUGGUGUAGCGGUGAAAUGCUUAGAUAUCACGCAGAACCCCGAUUGCGAAGGCAGCCUGCCAGGCCAUGACUGACGCUGAUGCACGAAAGCGUGGGGAUCAAACAGGAUUAGAUACCCGGGUAGUC
Molecule: ribosomal RNA, 460 nt
Filed under: uncultured bacterium
Lineage: Bacteria
Description: partial 16S ribosomal RNA
Rfam family: Bacterial small subunit ribosomal RNA
Source: RNAcentral